UGAUGCUAGCUGACCCAAAUGCAGGUCUAAUUGCUAAUGACUCAUCACCUUCAACAACAGAAAAUGGCUACCAUGGAGCAGCUGGAGGUCCGGGUGUUUGGGCUCUCGCUGUCAUUUUCCUAAUCAGCAUAAUUGCCACCGGCUCCUUCAUCCUUUACAAGUUCAAAAGAAAGCUUCCUGGAAGCCGCAACGUCUACGCCCAGAUGCACAAUGAGAAGGAGCAGGAGAUGACCAGCCCCGUAAAUCACAGCGAAGACACGCAGCACAUCAUCCAAGGCGAGGAGUUCAUCGACGACGACCUGGACUCGCAGACUCUAGGUAACGCAGGAGGUAGCCCCGCCUUCCGAUCCCUUAUAAGGACUACCACUAACCACUGCUACUAAAACCCAAGCCACUAACACCAGCAGCUAACACACACCAAGGCAACCACUCAGGUGUGGUCCUGAGCAUCAACUCCAGAGAACUACACAGUUACCUGACCAGCUGAUGGCUGCCAUGGCAACGCUGAUGAGCUAGCCCAGCCUAGCCGAGCCAGCUAAUGAGCACAGGGACUCUGCCUUCUUCCUCCUCUUUUUUUUUUUUUUUCUGUCCCCACCCUCUCCUCUCCCUUGGACACUUCACCUCCACUCCAUGGCCUCCUCAACCCCUCAACUUUGUGUGAUUUGUACUUAACAUCACGGCAAGGUCCUUACUCUCUCUCUCUCUCUCUCUUCCCACCACACCACCAACACUGAUGUUAAUUGGUGUCUUGAUGGCUUAUCUGUGUCUGUAAGAAAAAUAACAUUAUGUGCACAAACAUUCUGCCACUUAACACUCCUAGAAUCAGCCAGGGAGAGCUGAACCGUCUAAACCAGCGGCUACUCAAGCUAGCUGCAGCCAAAGACGUGUUUCUGAGCACUAGAUGUGGACUGCACUAAGAUAGAGAAGUAAACUAAAGACAAGUGAGUUUUUAUUUUUUGUUUUAUUGUUUUUUUCCUUUUCUUCCCUAAAUGAUCGCUCAACCUCUCUCUCUUUAAAGGCAAUAAUAAUCUUAAUGGAAUGUACAAUAUAAGAAAAACCCUCGUGAAUAUGCAUAUGAUGAGAAUAUGCAUGCAAACACAAGGGCGGUGUUGCACUUUCUUAAAUUUCCAUUCUCCGCUUCUAAGACACUGUAUGUACACACAUCUUUGUUCAUUUUCUCCAUAAUCCCAAUCCAUCCUUGAUUUUUUUGUUUGUUUUGUUUUGUUUUAAUGACCCAUUUUCAGUAGAUUGGUGUAAAAUGUUUAAAUCAGUGCCACCUCCAUCUGUCCCAUGGUGCCUGAAGCAGCAGAUCGUCAAUCUGCCCAGUGACACCACCAGUCGCCAUGUACGGUUACGUCUAAAAACACAACUUCCCUUUCUGCUCCUCCUCCUCCUCCUCACAGUUUCUGGGUGAGAGUGGACUCUGUCCUCAGGAGACAAAGGCUGCCGUCAUGGAGAGAAGGCGUAGCCCAUGUUUUCUGUAUCAGCCUAUAUUAGGCAAAAGCCCGCAGUGGAAUCGUGUCUCCUUUAAAAGUUUGCUUUGUAUGUAAAUGUGUAAAUAUGAGCAGUUAAUUCAACUUUGUACAUAUUUCCUGUUGACGUGUGUGAGUGUUUUACAUGGCUACCAAAACAGUGGUAUUGUUUUUGUUUUUUUUCUUCUUCUUCUUUCUGGAGUGAUACACGAGUUUCACCAGUUUAAUCUUCACUGUUUCACAUGUAUCUUUUUUCCUGUUUCGGUCUCAUUUAUCACAGUCUUCAUGUUAACUGGAAAUAAUUUCAUUGUCCUACAGAGACACUCACAGCUACUGUAUACAGCAAUGACUAUAUAUAUAUAUGGAUAUUUUUGAUACACAUGUCAGGUUUUUGCCAGUAUGUGUAAACACUGGUUAGUGUUUCUGUUGCCUUUUGCUGAAGUCUUUUUGUUUGUUUGAUUGCACUAAUGAUGUAAAAAAAAAAAAAAAAAAAAAAAGUUGCCGUUGCCAAGUACCAGACGGCAGCCGAACAGUUCUGCAAAACUAGUCUCUGGAUGAAAGGCCUUAGAGACCAUCAGGACCAUUCUUUGGUUGGAUUGCAUUCAUUCAUUCUGGUUUACAACUUUAUUCAACUUUUGUACAUAUUGUGCUCAUGCUCAACUUGUUCUUAGUUUUGUAGUGCUGUGUCGUCAUUGUGUCAACACACCCUUCAACAGAGGAAUUUUUGGGGGAUUGUGAUAUUCUGAUGUUAAGGUUAAGGAGUUUCACAGAUGAUGACACUGACCGUGUGACUUGUACCACGCUGCUUUCCUUUGUUUUUGGUUUUGUUUUGUUGUUUUUAUCUCUUUCUGCUGGUUUGUUUGAACUCUUGAUUUUGGCUAUUAAAAACAAUUGUGUCCUCUUCAGGAAGCAUAAUACACUGGACCUGCAUCCUGAAAUAAAUCACUCCCAUAACUUGUA
Long non-coding RNA from Melanotaenia boesemani (Boeseman's rainbowfish), 2432 nucleotides. RefSeq lists it as uncharacterized. The transcript has 5 exons. NCBI's taxonomy places the organism in Eukaryota, Metazoa, Chordata, Actinopteri, Atheriniformes, Melanotaeniidae. The record is from RefSeq and is a predicted model, not a curated record.